Molecule: long non-coding RNA, 1613 nt
Organism: Lathyrus oleraceus (garden pea)
Lineage: Eukaryota; Viridiplantae; Streptophyta; Magnoliopsida; Fabales; Fabaceae
Exons: 2
Source: RefSeq, a predicted model, not a curated record
UUUAUAUUGAUUGAUUCAAAAUAAACUAUACAUUUCUAAAUUCUAUAACUUUUUGUAAUGUCAAUUUUUUCUAAUGUCAGGUCCAAUUUAAAAUAGAUUUUGGUUUCUCCAAAAGAUGCAAAUUUACUCUUUUGCAUUAUUUUCUCUCUUCCUUUUACGCUGCAAAAUUCCAUCUCUCUUCCUCUUCUGCUUUCUUCUCUCUUUUGUUGCCUUUCUUUUCAUGUGUUUUUUCUUCUCUCUUCAACCUCUCUUUUCCUCUUCUUCUUUCUCCUCUCUUCCUUUUCUUCAAUAAAGACAACCGGGUCGUGGGACGAUUUACAGAAAUCUACAAAUCGAAGUUUUUUAAGGUUUGUGCUUUUUAUCUUUCUUUACUUAGAUCUACAAAACUCUAUUUAGAGAUGACACAAUGGCUAGAGAUUUAAGGGUUUGUUUUUUUCUUAUUCUGAUUUUAGAAUUUCAGUGUGAGAAAAAUGAAAUAAAAAACAAGUUAGGUUUUCUGUUACAUCUUCUUCUUUCUCACUACUGUGACAUGUUUGUAUCGUGUAUUGUGUUUUGUUAUAUUUGUUACACAGUCAUGUUUUCUAUUAUUGACUGUGAAUAAAAUGGUUGGUACUUUAAUAGUUUUUUAUUUCAGUUAUUUGUGGUUUACACAUUUGUCUUUGAAUCUUUUCAAUCAGUUGGUUUUGAUUAUCCACCUGUGGGGUGAUUUGUGUGUUUAUUAUGUCCCUGUGGUAGUUUUAUUUUGACCUAAGAUUGUUGGUGUUGCAAAAAUGGAAAAGAAUAAUCAAUAUUGGCAUGUCUAUUACUGUUACGACAACUAUUCAUGUUAUGGAAAAGAUAUGGACUUCCUACAGCUCAUCAUGAAGUAUGCAUUCAUAUACUUAUUUGGUUGUUGAGUAAUUCUUUAACUACCUACCCAUUAUUAUUUAAUGCCACCAAUCAACCUAAAUUAUCCCUUAAACAUUAUUUAUUCAUGCCUACUAAAAGGACAUAACAGUAAAAUACAUAUUACCUAAUCUUAGAAUUGUUGAGAACAAUUCAUGGCAUUUUUCAAUUGGUCCGAAUUUUAUUAUGUCCUUUAUAUCAAUUUUCCCUCUCUUUUCACCCCAUUUAAUUUUUUUUUCUUUAUCAAAAAAGUUUCUCUUUUUCCCUCACUCUCUCUUUUCUCGUCUCCCUGUUUCUCUUUCUUCUUCCUCAUUCAUUUUCUUCUCCUUUCAUCACUUUCCAUUUCUCUUUCUCCCCUUUCAACCAAGUUCUUCUUCCUUUUACAAAGCAACCAUCUCCUUCUUUUCUUUUGUGUUCAUAUUUCAACACGAAAAAUAAAGUAAUGGGCAUGGAAACAAGAUGAAAAAGGUGGUAAAGAUGUCUAGAGACCGAAGGCGUCGUGUUUAUUGAUUUUGUUCUUGAUGAUGUUUGGAAAGAAGUUGAAAACAGUAAUUGCUUGCAGGAUAUGGUUUUCAAACUUUUGCUAAUAAUUUUAGAGUUUUGUUGGUUUUUGAAAUUGAUGGGUAUGCUAGUGCCCUUUUGAAAUUUUGAAAUGUGUUUUAAAAAUAAAGUGAAAUUAUACUUGAAAUUGUGUGUAAUUUUGAAGUUGGAUCUAGCCUUUAAUGUCA